Molecule: long non-coding RNA, 728 nt
Organism: Oenanthe melanoleuca
Lineage: Eukaryota; Metazoa; Chordata; Aves; Passeriformes; Muscicapidae
Exons: 3
Source: RefSeq, a predicted model, not a curated record
UGGGAGAAUUAUUGGGGGAACAGAGAGAAAUAAACCUUUGCUCUGUGUAUGCUGGCACAUUUCUGAUCCACGUCUAAACAUAAUUUUAAUUUUCAUUCCUUCCCACAGAAUUCCUUCCCUCAAUGCAUCUAUGAAUGUUUCUCUGGAAGAAAACUCGAAGGUCCUUUCAGCAGCAAAGCAAAUAAACCCUCUGCAUUACAUUUAUCUGCCCUUGCUGUGUCGGUUACCAUCCAGGGAGGUUUAUCAAGGAGCAAACAGGGCACACACACAGCGCCUGGUCCUGCAGCACCCAUCCCACAAACUCUGCUUGGUGAGCCCAGGACCGCUCGCACCGAUACCAUCACUCCCCACCGAUACCGACACUUCAGCCCGUCUAUCCGAAUUCCAGAGCUCUUCCUCCUACCCAGCCCCUGUGCCUCCGGAGAAAACCCAGCAUCACCACCCUGCCAGCCCUCCCCACGGCCCCUAAGGCACCGCACCCGCUCUGCAGAGCUCUCGGGGACUUUCUGCGCUCCCUGCUGCGGCUCCGGCUCCCUUUGAAAGCAAGCGGCUUCGCGUGUGACUCUGCAAUCUGAGAAUGUGAACCAGCCGGCAGGACACCGGGGGUCCCGCUACAGGCACUGCUGGAAAGGGGGCAGAAGCCAGCGUGUAUCUCUUUAAGAAGGAAGGAAGAAAAAGGUCUUUGUUUAUAUUGCAAUAUCUGAGAAAUUGUUUUGUGACACUGUUAU